RNAcentral lists this ribosomal RNA (253 nucleotides) under uncultured bacterium. Its description in RNAcentral is "partial 16S ribosomal RNA". It matches the Rfam family "Bacterial small subunit ribosomal RNA", at positions 524 to 776 of the family's 1533-position model. The record is from RNAcentral.
UACGGGGGGGGCAAGCGUUGUCCGGAAUUAUUGGGCGUAAAGGGCUCGUAGGCGGUUUGUCGCGUCGGGAGUGAAAACACUGGGCUUAACUCAGUGCUUGCUUCCGAUACGGGCAGACUAGAGGUAUGCAGGGGAGAACGGAAUUCCUGGUGUAGCGGUGAAAUGCGCAGAUAUCAGGAGGAACACCGGUGGCGAAGGCGGUUCUCUGGGCAUUACCUGACGCUGAGGAGCGAAAGUGUGGGGAGCGAACAGG